This 911-nucleotide ribosomal RNA is filed under the name uncultured archaeon. Its description in RNAcentral is "bacterial SSU rRNA". It matches the Rfam family "Archaeal small subunit ribosomal RNA", at positions 1 to 922 of the family's 1478-position model. The record is from RNAcentral.
UUCCGGUUGAUCCUGCCGGAGGCGACCGCUUUUGGAGUUCGAUUAAGCCAUGCGAGUAGAAUGAAUUAGAUCAUUGCGAACUGCUCAGUAACACGUGGAUAACCUGCCCUAUGCUCUGGGAUAACCUUGGGAAACUGAGAAUAAUACCGGAUAGAUCACAACGCCUGGAACGGUGUGUGGUUGAAAGGUCACGGCAUAGGAUGGGUCUGCGGCGUAUCAGGUCGUAGGGGGUGUAAUGGACCUCCUAGCCAUCGACGCGUACGGGUUGUGGGAGCAAUAGCCCGGAGAUGGAUUCUGAGACACGAAUCCAGACCCUACGGGGUGCAGCAGGCGCGAAAACUUCACACUGCAGGAAACUGUGAUGAGGGAACUCCAAGUGACUACACAUUUGUGUAGCUCUUUUCUUAACUAUUAAUCGGUUUGGGAAUAAGGGCUGGGAAAGACCGGUGCCAGCCGCCGCGGUAAUACCGGCAGCUCGAGUGGUCGUCGCUUUUAUUGGGCCUAAAACGUCCGUAGCCUGUUUGGUAAAUCUGUGGGUAAAUCAACCAGCUUAACUGGUUGAAUUCUGCAGAGACUGCCAGACUAGGGACCGGGAGAGGUGUGGGGUACUCUAGGGGUAGGGGUAAAAUCCUGUCAUCCUUAGAGGACCACCAGUUGCGAAGGCGCCACACUAGAACGGAUCCGACGGUCAGGGACGAAGCCUAGGGGCACGAACCGGAUUAGAUACCCGGGUAGUCCUAGGUGUAAACGCUGUGAACUUGGUGUCGGGAGUCCGCAAUGGGCCCCCGGUGCCGGAGUGAAGAUGUUAAGUUCACUGCCUGGGAGUACGGUCGCAAGGCUGAAACUUAAAGGAAUUGGCGGGGGAGCACUGCAACGGGAGGAGCGUGCGGUUUAAUUGGAUCAACGCCGGA